Molecule: long non-coding RNA, 991 nt
Organism: Drosophila willistoni
Lineage: Eukaryota; Metazoa; Arthropoda; Insecta; Diptera; Drosophilidae
Exons: 2
Source: RefSeq, a predicted model, not a curated record
CAUAAACCUAAAAAAAUUAAUAUAAAUGGUUUUUCUUUAUAAAAAUCAAGAAUUAGUUAUAUUAAUUUCCCACUUGAAAGAAAAACAAUUUUGUUGUCCUCAAAAUGUAAAUACUUUUAUUUCAAAAUUCUGUGCUAGUAUUAAGCAACAUGUGUGCGGAACAGAGUUGCCAUAUUAAAUUAAUAGUGCUGCCAACUGUGUCUACCAAAAAACUGUUGUACAGCGCUAGAAUUUUAAUAAUCUGUGUGGCAACUCUUUAACUUUGUUCUUAAAAAACGUGUUCCGAUUUGUUUUUUCUUAAGCACAACCAUGGCAGACGGGGAUAGUUACUUAUUGUUUGCCGAAAUCAUACGCUUUGAGAUGCAAAGAAUGAAUCCCCGGCAGAGACUAAUGUUCUCCCAGAAAGUUUAUCAAUGUUUGUUGGAGACUUUUGAUGAUCCAAAAGACUUUCCCAAACCGGUGGUACGAGCGCAGCCCCUGCCGAAUGAUCAACGGAGUCGUAUUGUUUAUUCACGCCCCUCAGAGAACACUGCAGUCAAUGUGACCCCAUAUGCCCAACAAUUGGCAAAUAAUCCGGUACGGCAAAAGGCAGCAAGCAUUUGUGGAACUAGGCCCAAAGCCCAAAGUAAUAUAAAAAACAUAAAUACUAACCGGAUCAAUACACGUUCCACGUUAAAAUCAGCAGUCAUAAAUAACCCAGAUGGAUCCUUCGAUCAAUCGUCAUUUAGGCUGAAUUCCAUUGCUUCAACUGCUUCUACUCCGAGUGUAAAAGGUGAUGCCGUAAUACCGACCCUCAGAGUUGUUAGCAAUGAUAUCUUGUUCCGGGGAUGUUCUGCAAAAUCGCAACCAUAAUUAAUAAAUUUAUUUAAUAAGUUCAUUGUGUUUAAUGCUUAACUACAGCCGAAUUUAAUGUAAUUUAGUCUCUGAGCCCUGAAAUUUCUUUCGAGAUGUAAAUACAUACUAAAUCAUUAAAAAUUUUGAAUUGAGCAAA